RNAcentral lists this ribosomal RNA (253 nucleotides) under uncultured bacterium. Its description in RNAcentral is "partial 16S ribosomal RNA". It matches the Rfam family "Bacterial small subunit ribosomal RNA", at positions 524 to 776 of the family's 1533-position model. The record is from RNAcentral.
UACGUAGGGGGCGAGCGUUGUCCGGAAUUAUUGGGCGUAAAGAGCGUGUAGGCGGUUCGGUAAGUCUGCCGUGAAAACCUGGGGCUCAACCCCAGGCGUGCGGUGGAUACUGCCGGGCUAGAGGGUGGUAGAGGCGAGUGGAAUUCCCGGUGUAGCGGUGAAAUGCGCAGAUAUCGGGAGGAACACCAGUAGCGAAGGCGGCUCGCUGGGCCAUACCUGACGCUGAGACGCGAAAGCGUGGGGAGCGAACAGG